Molecule: non-coding RNA, 87 nt
Organism: Gossypium arboreum
Lineage: Eukaryota; Viridiplantae; Streptophyta; Magnoliopsida; Malvales; Malvaceae
Source: Rfam
AGGCUAAUGAUGAUAAUUUAAAAUAGUCUUAGCGGAUUUCAGUGAGAUAUUAUCUCUAUGAUCUGAUUGUUACACACACUGGGGCCU